Molecule: microRNA precursor, 142 nt
Filed under: Procavia capensis (Cape rock hyrax)
Lineage: Eukaryota; Metazoa; Chordata; Mammalia; Hyracoidea; Procaviidae
Description: miRNA (ENSPCAG00000019383.1)
Source: RNAcentral
CAGGACACCCAGUUAAAUUUGAAUUUGAGACAAACAACCAAAACAUUUAGCAUAAGCAUAUCCCAUACAAUAUUGGGGACAUACUUAUACUAAACAAUCAUUCCUUGUUUAUCUGAAAUUCAAACUUACUUGAGCAUCCUGU